This 519-nucleotide ribosomal RNA is filed under the name uncultured bacterium. RNAcentral describes it as "bacterial SSU rRNA". It matches the Rfam family "Bacterial small subunit ribosomal RNA", at positions 324 to 835 of the family's 1533-position model. The record is from RNAcentral.
ACACGGUCCAGACUCCUACGGGAGGCAGCAGUGGGGAAUAUUGGACAAUGGGGGCAACCCUGAUCCAGCCAUGCCGCGUGUGUGAAGAAGGCCUUCGGGUUGUAAAGCACUUUUGUUCGGGAAGAAAAGCCACUGAUUAAUACCUGGUGGUCAUGACGGUACCGAAAGAAUAAGCACCGGCUAACUUCGUGCCAGCAGCCGCGGUAAUACGAAGGGUGCAAGCGUUACUCGGAAUUACUGGGCGUAAAGCGUGCGUAGGCGGUUUGUUAAGUCUGUCGUGAAAGCCCCGGGCUCAACCUGGGAAUGGCGAUGGAAACUGGCGAGCUAGAGUACGGUAGAGGAGAGUGGAAUUCCCGGUGUAGCAGUGAAAUGCGUANAGAUCGGGAGGAACAUCAGUUGCGAAGGCGGCUCUCUGGACCAGUACUGACGCUGANGCACGAAAGCGUGGGGAGCAAACAGGAUUAGAUACCCUGGUAGUCCACGCCCUAAACGAUGCGAACUGGACGUUGGGAGCAAUUA